CUGCAGUCCCAUUGUUUCAGGUCAGAAGUGAACAGACAGUGGGUGAGACAUGAAGCUCUAGCCAGAAAGGGCUAAUGUGAUGGCCACAGUGGCAGAACCUAGGAAGCCAAGAAGAAACCAGAGAAUGGAGACACAUGGCAGCAAUGGCAAGUCAUCAGACCCAGGAUUUCCCAAAGAACACUGGUCCAGGAAGAUGCUCUGUGAAAAAGUGUUCCCUGGUCGGAGAAAUUUGUGAAACACUUUGCAUAAUACUUAAAAGAAUGUAUGGCACAUCAAAGGUAAUAUGCAAU
Molecule: long non-coding RNA, 290 nt
Filed under: Homo sapiens (human)
Lineage: Eukaryota; Metazoa; Chordata; Mammalia; Primates; Hominidae
Description: non-protein coding LINC01905:18
Source: RNAcentral